Molecule: RNA transcript, 1358 nt
Organism: Schistocerca americana (American grasshopper)
Lineage: Eukaryota; Metazoa; Arthropoda; Insecta; Orthoptera; Acrididae
Gene name: BLOC-1-related complex subunit 8 homolog
Exons: 6
Source: RefSeq, a predicted model, not a curated record
UGUUGUCUGCUGUCAUUGAGAGCAGACGGAAUUCGGGGUGAUUUGUUUAUGUUUCUGAGUCCACUGCGGAUUUUAUUUAGAGGGUGGUUUAAGUUUACACUCAGGCCGUUGACUUUAUAGAGUAUUUGUACUCUGUAAUUCUUCGAAAUCUGCUGAGACAAUAAUGUCUGCUCACAAUAUUUCUGAUCCUGAAUUGGAUAUAAAAGUCAAGAAAGCAACGGAGAGAAUAUCAGAAAAUAUGCACAUUGUUGCCAAUGAGCCUUCCUUGGCCUUUUAUCGCCUCCAAGAACAUGUUAGGAAAGCGUUACCACCAAUGGUCGAAAAACGAGUGGAAGUCACAAAGCUUCAUCAUGAACUGCAAGGCCGAUGCUACGAUGUCGAAUAUGGCGUUGGGGCUAUAAAAUCUAUGGAAGGUGCUGAGGAAAGUUUUGACAACAUACAGGAAUUGUUAAAAAAUGCAGUUUUCCUCAAGCAGCAAAUAAAAUAUGAAGAAGCCAGAAGAAACAAAAAAGAGCCCUCAUCUGUAUACAAACGCUUAUCGGCACACAUUACUCUUGACCUGCCUGAUCUGCCAGAAAUUUCUGAUGCUUUGCGUGAAACAGCCAACCGUGUGGAAUCCAUGAUGGCUCAUGCCAGGCAUUCAGCUGGUGCAGAGCUGCAGAGGUCUCACACGGUUCACCACUGAUGACAACCGCAUACAGUGUGAGCUGACUGUUUGUUCUGAAGUAUCAUCUUCUUUAUUGGAAGUCAGACUGUCAAAACACCCAGAUGAAAAUCAUGUGAGGAGCCUUGCUUAUCAGUAACACCUCAACAUUGCUCAUUGCUUCGACAGUAUGACACAAUAUUUUUAAUAUUUAUUUUGCUGGUGAAAAAGAAGAAAACCAUCUCGCCACCUCGCAGAAGAAAUAGAUUAUUGAGUACAGACUGUGUGCCUGGGAGUACCAGAGGAAGAGACUGAGAAGAGGUGUUACCAUAAAUGGACUGAGAUCUUCUCAAGCAGUGAGACAAGUGUUUAGCACUAAAGAUAGUAUAUAUUUUAUAAUUUCAUGUAAUUUAUUAUUUCUUUUUCAAAUAAUAUGGAAAUGGACAUAAAAAAUAGAUGAUUUCCAAUUUGAAUCUUUUUGCUAAGCUAUGCUUUGCACAUGUACUCACAGUUUUUACACAAUAAUUUGAUCUGAAACACUCACAUUUACACUUUAUGUUCAUGGAACUAUGUCAUCAACUUUGUGUUGUGCUAUAUUGUAACUUGUGGCGAAUUAUUUGUUUGUACAGUGUUUCUGGCAACUGACUGAAGUCUAAUUUUAGCAGAGUAUCUUAUCUAAUUCUCAUCUACAGUACUCUGGGUGGUUGUUGUAACG